Molecule: long non-coding RNA, 2347 nt
Organism: Solea senegalensis (Senegalese sole)
Lineage: Eukaryota; Metazoa; Chordata; Actinopteri; Pleuronectiformes; Soleidae
Exons: 2
Source: RefSeq, a predicted model, not a curated record
UACGACACAUGACACAGACAUGAAGACCAUGAACCAAGAAAGCAUGAUUGUUUUUACAAUAAGAAGUUCUGGUAUUCAGAUUCUGAUAUUCAGCGACAUAUAUUUUACGACACUAUAGUUACAGACAAUACUGUUUCACAACUGUAGGGGGACCCCAGGAGCAAAUACUCUAUUGUGUUACUUUAACAAAAAGGUUUUUGUGUUUCCAUGUGGACCAAAAUACCCUUGUACGUGUGGAAUUUGGCCUAAGAUAUACACUUGUGAUGCGUGGGUCGGCUAAUAUCUAUGUUAAUUACCACCUGGAGACUACCUAGAGCAGCAUAAUUAGCAGCCCUUCGUUUAUGUAUUCAGGCUUUGUUUAUACAUAUCUUAUUAUAGAAUUACAAUUAUCAGGAGGUCUCACUCUCAACCUAAGAAGUUACGUUAACAGACAAAAUAAACAGACACAUUAUUCCAAACUUUCUUUAAUUGUGAGAGAAAAUAAACUUUCAACAGUAACUUACUUUGAUAACUCACCUUCAUUUUCUUACCUGAACUUGUAGGUCAAACGCACACAUGGCUGUGUAUAGUGCUCAUCUUGUGAUGGGGUUAUUGUGUCACCAUAUGCUUGUUCCCCCGGUCACCUCAGGCAAUGUUUGAUGUGCCCCCCCCCCCCUCACAUUAACUGCUCCACAAGUAUUCAAGAAACAUUCAUUUUAUUUGAUGCUGCUCUGCUGCUCUGCCUAUGUUGCCCAUCCAAGCUAUGACUGAUUUCACCGCAGCUGAAGGACUAAACCGAGCCUCAUGCGGAAGUUCAAGCUAAUUCAAGCUGGAACCUUUCACUUUAGCCUGGACUCAUUUAAUCCACUUUGAUAAAACACACCACAACCUGGGGUCAUAUCACACAUGGCUCGCAAAGGAUAACAAAAACUGCAGGAACACUUAGGAGCCAAAUGGCAAGAAGGAAAGCAAACAUUCCCAGAUCAAAGCGACGGAGAAACAAACGUAUGCUCCACAGCCCUGAACUCACACUCACUUUUAUCUGUCUUUGCUUAUUUUAUUUACAACAUAUUAUUAAACCACACACAAAAAACACUACAUUACACUGUAGAAUGGACGUAGCCUGGGAGACCCAUGUCCAAAUACACUGGAUGAGUGUGCGUGCGUGCACUUAAACAUAUGUUUCAGAUCGUCGUUUCCUGUGUGAGGGGCAGAAGCAGCUCUCUGACGGUGCUGCUGACAUCAGAGAGGGAAUCCUGCGGCUUCUUCCUGACGUGACAUCUGGAGCAUCUGCUGUGACCUGUAAACUUCCACUGCAUCAUGCCGGCUCACUAGUGAACAUGCAUCUAAUCCAGCCUGACUGGAAAAAGAAUAGGAAAUAAUCUAGAAUGGGGAGGACACUGACGCUGCUUCCUGCCUGAGGUACGAGGCACCGACCACGUCAAAGAGGGAGAUUACACAACGUCUCUGAUGUCUUGCUCAUGGUGAAAGUUUGAGCCGAGUCACUCUCUACUGUCACUUCAUGUCAUCACUGGCUCAGCAGCUGAGUCAGACUCGGGUGGGAACUCCUGAACAGAACCUCAGGUUGUCUCCUUCAACAUGAUAGGAUGUUGAUUUGUUCAAACAGACUUGCAGGGCAAGGUUCCGUUAGCUGAAUCAGAAAAUGAGAGGAAAUCACUAGUUUAAAGUUAUCCCAUUUUUUCAUGUAAAGAGGCUCGAGUCCAAGUAAAGUCACACAUCAUUGUUGCUAUUAAAGUCCAAGUCGAGUCUUGGGCUCCCAACUCUGCUGCGUGUCAACAUGAAUCUGUUAUAAACUGUUAUCGGCAGGACCCAACAGGUUUUCUAAUUUAAUUCAGAAUGUGACUCACUUCAUUCUCGUUGCUCACUUUACCUUCAGGUCAAUAAAUCCUACAUGACUUCUGUUCUAAAUUACUGAAAAUCUGACUCCAGAUGGAAGCAGGGUGCAUCUCUGCAGAGCAGCGUGUGGUUAUUUACUCAGUAUAGCAGGUCUCUGGUGCAGGUUCAUGUGUGGACUCAGCAUGGGGCAGCAGUCAGGCCAUCUGCAGGAUGGAUUUAGGGUGUAGGGGUGGAGGUAAAGGCCAAAAGAGGAGGGUUUGACUUAGUGCAUCCAUCUGCGCUGUCCCAUGUGCCCUGGGACAGCUGGGGCUGAAUCUCAAGGAAUCAGGAUGUUUUCACACCUGGGGAAUUUAUGGAUCCUGCUGAGAAAAUAAGACGUGCGUGCAUGAGUGCAUGUGUGUGUGUGUGUUUCUUACAUGUGUAUGUACUUACCUCCACAUGCUCAUAAGUGGACGCACUGUCAGGGGAUCGGUGGGAAAACAGAACUGAAUAAAGACGAAAAGAAUAAAAA